Molecule: microRNA precursor, 66 nt
Filed under: Cavia aperea (Brazilian guinea pig)
Lineage: Eukaryota; Metazoa; Chordata; Mammalia; Rodentia; Caviidae
Description: miRNA (ENSCAPG00000002636.1)
Source: RNAcentral
GUGGGGUGGUGGUGGCGGCUCUGGACUGGUGCCUGCCCCAGAAGUACCUGGCAGCCCCGAGCUCUC